AGUGAUUCAGUUUAGUUUAGUACGGAGGUGACUAGUGGAUAGUGAUUUAGUUUAGUUUAAUAUGGAGGUGACUAGUGGAUAGUGAUUUAGUUUAUUUUAGUACGGAGGUGACUAGUGUAUAGUGAUUUAAUUUAAUAUACAACCAAGAGCGAACCUAAAACACAUGGUUGCUUCGAGGGGAAAGGAAAGGAGAGGAGGAGAAGGGAACAGGAAAGGAGAAUAGGAAAUGCGAACAGGAAAGGAGAGGAGGAGAAGGGGAAAGGAUAGGAUAGGAAGAGAAGGGGAAAGGAACGGAGAGGAAGAGAAGGGGAAAGGAACGGAGAGGAAGAGAAUGGGAAAGGAUGAGAAGGGGAAAGGAAAGGAAAGGAAAGGAAAGGAGAGGAGGAGAAGGGAGAAGGGGAAAGGGAACACCUCUAAAAGAGACUGGAAAAGAUUGGUGGAAAAUCAUCUGGGAGGGGUGACUGAUAUGGUUUGUGGUGGUGGUGGUGGUGUUGGGGAGGAGGGAGAGAGAAGGGGGGUGGAUUUUCCACUGCCAGGGAAAGAACGGCUAAAUCAAAUUAAUUAGCUUCUUCAUCUCCAGGCAGCUACUCAGGCAUGCUGUACUGGCAAAGAGAGGGAGAAGGAGAGUGUACACAAGAGAAAGAGUGAGAGUGUAGAGAACUUGGUGGAGGAGUGAAGAGC
RNAcentral lists this long non-coding RNA (681 nucleotides) under Salmo salar (Atlantic salmon). Its description in RNAcentral is "lncRNA (ENSSSAG00000119764.1)". The record is from RNAcentral. Lineage: Eukaryota; Metazoa; Chordata; Actinopteri; Salmoniformes; Salmonidae.